Molecule: non-coding RNA, 251 nt
Filed under: Desulfosporosinus lacus
Lineage: Bacteria; Bacillati; Bacillota; Clostridia; Eubacteriales; Desulfitobacteriaceae
Description: T-box sequence
Rfam family: T-box leader
About the family: Uncharged tRNA acts as the effector for transcription antitermination of genes in the T-box leader family. T-boxes are found upstream of many aminoacyl-tRNA synthetase genes and some amino acid biosynthetic genes usually in Gram-positive bacteria.
Source: RNAcentral
UAUAAACCGUUGAAGGGGAAGUAAAACCGCAUGACCAACCUCACAGAGAGUCGAGUAAGGUGGAAGCUCGGCAGGUAAUGGAGCGGGUAAAUGGGCCCCAGAGGGUGGAACGAAAAAGCUCAGGCUUUAGUAGUUACCAACGCAGAGCCAGCGUUAUCGGGCUAAGAGUGUGUUGGCACUCUGUAUGAGGGGAUGCAUUAUUAUUUAUGCAUUAACUAAGGUGGUACCGCAGAUUAACGUCUGUCCUUAUU